Long non-coding RNA from Sinocyclocheilus anshuiensis, 112 nucleotides. RefSeq lists it as uncharacterized. The transcript has 3 exons. The record is from RefSeq and is a predicted model, not a curated record. Lineage: Eukaryota; Metazoa; Chordata; Actinopteri; Cypriniformes; Cyprinidae.
UAGAGGCAUUGGAAGGGGCAUCGUUAAAGUGUUUGUGCAAAACGGAGCCAAAGUUGUGUUCUGCGCACAAGAGACUGAGUUGCCUGCUGGCCAGUCUUUUGAGUCUGUGCUG